Molecule: ribosomal RNA, 250 nt
Filed under: uncultured bacterium
Lineage: Bacteria
Description: partial 16S ribosomal RNA
Rfam family: Bacterial small subunit ribosomal RNA
Source: RNAcentral
AACGUAGGAGGCAAGCGUUAUCCGGAUUUACUGGGCGUAAAGGGUGUGCAGGCGGGCCGUUAAGUGGUGCAUGAAAGCGAAGGGCUCAACCCUUCGAGGCUGUGCCAGACUGGCGGUCUGGAGUGCGGGAGAGGGCUGUGGAAUUCCGGGUGUAGUGGUGAAAUGCGUAGAGAUCCGGAGGAACACCAGAGGCGAAGGCGGCAGCCUGGUCCGCAACUGACGCUGAGACACGACAGCAUGGGGAGCGAAC